This 468-nucleotide ribosomal RNA is filed under the name uncultured bacterium. RNAcentral's name for it is "partial 16S ribosomal RNA". It matches the Rfam family "Bacterial small subunit ribosomal RNA", at positions 28 to 507 of the family's 1533-position model. The record is from RNAcentral.
GACGAACGCUGGCGGCGUGCUUAACACAUGCAAGUCGAACGGAAAGGCCCUGCUUUUGUGGGGUGCUCGAGUGGCGAACGGGUGAGUAACACGUGAGUAACCUGCCCUUGACUUUGGGAUAACUUCAGGAAACUGGGGCUAAUACCGGAUAGGAGCUCCUGCUGCAUGGUGGGGGUUGGAAAGUUUCGGCGGUUGGGGAUGGACUCGCGGCUUAUCAGCUUGUUGGUGGGGUAGUGGCUUACCAAGGCUUUGACGGGUAGCCGGCCUGAGAGGGUGAACGGGCACAUUGGGACUGAGAUACGGCCCAGAGUCCUACGGGAGGCAGCAGUGGGGAAUAUUGCACAAUGGGCGGAAGCCUGAUGCAGCAACGCCGCGUGCGGGAUGACGGCCUUCGGGUUGUAAACCGCUUUCGCCUGUGACGAAGCGUGAGUGACGGUAAUGGGUAAAGAAGCACCGGCUAACUACGUG